CCCUUAGAUGUUCUGGGCUGCACGCGCGCUACACUGAAGCGUUCAACGAGUAUUCACCUUGCCCGGGAGGGUUGGGUAAUCUUUUGAAAACGCUUCGUGAUGGGGAUAGAUUAUUGCAAUUAUUAAUCUUCAACGAGGAAUUCCUAGUAAGCGCGAGUCAUCAGCUCGUGCUGAUUACGUCCCUGCCCUUUGUACACACCGCCCGUCGCUACUACCGAUUGAAUGGUUUAGUGAGAUCUCUGGAUUGACGCUGGCUAGGGGGCGACCCUUGGCCAGACUGUUGAGAAACUGCUCAAACUUGAUCAUUUAGAGGAAGUAAAAGUCGUAACA
RNAcentral lists this ribosomal RNA (330 nucleotides) under uncultured eukaryote. RNAcentral's name for it is "partial 18S ribosomal RNA". It matches the Rfam family "Eukaryotic small subunit ribosomal RNA", at positions 1470 to 1796 of the family's 1831-position model. The record is from RNAcentral.